Molecule: small nucleolar RNA, 128 nt
Organism: Bison bison bison
Lineage: Eukaryota; Metazoa; Chordata; Mammalia; Artiodactyla; Bovidae
Source: Ensembl
CGCCUAAAUAUAAAAAUAAGAACCCGAAGAAACGGCUUCUUUGUUUACAACAUACCCAACAGAAAUCUGGGUUCACUGUGACAAGGGGCAAGACUUGUGGCCUUCCUAUGAAUAAACGGAAAACACAG